GUCCUACGGGUGGCUGCAGUCGAGAAUCUUCGGCAAUGGGCGCAAGCCUGACCGAGCGACGCCGCGUGGAGGACGAAGGCCUUCGGGUUGUAAACUCCUGUCGAGGGGGAUGAAGGGCCUGCGAAGAGCAGGCCUUGACAGAUCCCUGGAGGAAGCACGGGCUAAGUUCGUGCCAGCAGCCGCGGUAAGACGAACCGUGCGAACGUUAUUCGGAUUCACUGGGCUUAAAGCGCGUGUAGGCGGCCCGGCACGUCGGGCGUUGAAAGCCCCCGGCUCAACCGGGGAAUCGGCGCCGAUACGGCCGAGCUGGAGGGGUAUAGGGGGGCCUGGAACUUCCGGUGGAGCGGUGAUAUGCGUUGAGAUCGGAAGGAACGCCCGAGGCGAAAGCGAGGCCCUGGAUACUUUCUGACGCUGAGACGCGAAAGCCAGGGGAGCAAACGGGAUUAGAUACCCGGGUAGUC
This 461-nucleotide ribosomal RNA is filed under the name uncultured Isosphaera sp. RNAcentral describes it as "bacterial SSU rRNA". It matches the Rfam family "Bacterial small subunit ribosomal RNA", at positions 335 to 795 of the family's 1533-position model. Lineage: Bacteria; Pseudomonadati; Planctomycetota; Planctomycetia; Isosphaerales; Isosphaeraceae. The record is from RNAcentral.